Molecule: ribosomal RNA, 253 nt
Filed under: uncultured bacterium
Lineage: Bacteria
Description: partial 16S ribosomal RNA
Rfam family: Bacterial small subunit ribosomal RNA
Source: RNAcentral
UACGUAGGGGGCAAGCGUUGUCCGGAUUUAUUGGGCGUAAAGAGCGUGUAGGCGGCCAUACAGGUCAGCUGUGAAAACUCGAGGCUCAACCUCGAGACGUCGGUUGAAACCGUAUGGCUAGAGUCCGGAAGAGGAGAGUGGAGUUCCCGGUGUAGCGGUGAAAUGCGCAGAUAUCGGGAAGAACACCCGUGGCGAAGGCGGCUCUCUGGGACGGUACUGACGCUGAGACGCGAAAGCGUGGGGAGCGAACAGG